UACAGGGGGGGCAAGCGUUGUUCGGAAUUACUGGGCGUAAAGGGCUCGUAGGUGGCCAACUAAGUCAGACGUGAAAUCCCUCAGCUUAACUGGGGAACUGCGUCUGAUACUGGAUGGCUUGAGUUUGGGAGAGGGAUGCGGAAUUCCAGGUGUAGCGGUGAAAUGCGUAGAUAUCAGGAGGAACACCCGUAGCGAAGGCGGCACUCUGGGCCGGAACUGACGCUGAGGAGCGAAAGCGUGGGGAGCAAACAGG
RNAcentral lists this ribosomal RNA (253 nucleotides) under uncultured bacterium. Its description in RNAcentral is "partial 16S ribosomal RNA". It matches the Rfam family "Bacterial small subunit ribosomal RNA", at positions 524 to 776 of the family's 1533-position model. The record is from RNAcentral.